AAUUUUGGAUAAUGGGGGAAACCCUGAUCCAGCCAUCCCGCGUGUAUGAUGAAGGCCUNCGGGUUNUNAAGUACUUUUGGCAGAGNCGAAAAGGUACCUCCUAAUACGAGGUACUGCUGACGGUAUCUGCAGAAUAAGCACCGGCUAACUACGUGCCAGCAGCCGCGGUAAUACGUAGGGUGCAAGCGUUAAUCGAAGUUACUGGGUGUAAAUGGUGUGUAGGCGGUUCGGAAAGGAAAAUGUGAAUUCCCAGGGCUCAACCUUGGAACUGCAUUUUUAACUGCCGAGCUAGAGUAUGUCAGAGGGUGGUAGAAUUCCACGUGUAGCAGUGAAAUGCGUAGAUAUGUGGAGGAAUACCGAUGGCGAAGGCAGCCCCCUGGGAUAAUACUGACGCUCAGACACGAAAGCGUGGGGAGCAAACAG
This 423-nucleotide ribosomal RNA is filed under the name uncultured bacterium. RNAcentral's name for it is "partial 16S ribosomal RNA". It matches the Rfam family "Bacterial small subunit ribosomal RNA", at positions 360 to 775 of the family's 1533-position model. The record is from RNAcentral.